RNAcentral lists this ribosomal RNA (301 nucleotides) under uncultured bacterium. RNAcentral's name for it is "partial 16S ribosomal RNA". It matches the Rfam family "Bacterial small subunit ribosomal RNA", at positions 509 to 807 of the family's 1533-position model. The record is from RNAcentral.
CAGUCGCCGCGGGAAUACAGAGGGUGCGAGCGUUAAUCGGAUUUACUGGGCGUAAAGCGUGCGUAGGCGGCUUUUUAAGUCGGAUGUGAAAUCCCUGAGCUUAACUUAGGAAUUGCAUUCGAUACUGGGAAGCUAGAGUAUGGGAGAGGAUGGUAGAAUUCCAGGUGUAGCGGUGAAAUGCGUAGAGAUCUGGAGGAAUACCGAUGGCGAAGGCAGCCAUCUGGCCUAAUACUGACGCUGAGGUACGAAAGCAUGGGGAGCAAAUGGGAUUAGAUACCCCUGUAGUCCCUGUCUCUUAUAC